GGGAAGGUUGCAGAGCGGUCAAAUGCAACGGACUGUAAAUCCAUCGACUCAGUCUUCGAUGGUCCGAAUCCAUCCCUUCCCACCA
RNAcentral lists this transfer RNA (85 nucleotides) under Clostridia bacterium. RNAcentral describes it as "tRNA-Tyr". It matches the Rfam family "tRNA". From Rfam's summary of the family: Transfer RNA (tRNA) molecules are approximately 80 nucleotides in length. Their secondary structure includes four short double-helical elements and three loops (D, anti-codon, and T loops). Lineage: Bacteria; Bacillati; Bacillota; Clostridia. The record is from RNAcentral.